GGCCCACCAAGCCGACGAUCAGUAGCCGACCUGAGAGGGUGACCGGCCACAUUGGGACUGAGACACGGCCCAAACUCCUACGGGAGGCAGCAGUGGGGAAUAUUGCACAAUGGGGGAAACCCUGAUGCAGCGACGCCGCGUGAGCGAAGAAGUAUUUCGGUAUGUAAAGCUCUAUCAGCAGGGAAGAAGAUGACGGUACCUGAGUAAGAAGCACCGGCUAAAUACGUGCCAGCAGCCGCGGUAAUACGUAUGGUGCAAGCGUUAUCCGGAUUUACUGGGUGUAAAGGGAGCGUAGACGGAUGGGCAAGUCUGAAGUGAAAGCCCGGGGCUCAACCCCGGGACUGCUUUGGAAACUGCUCAUCUGGAGUGCUGGAGAGGUAAGUGGGAUUCCUAGUGUAGCCGGUGAAAUGCGUAGAUAUUAGGAGGAACACCAGUGGCGAAGGCGGCUUA
This 450-nucleotide ribosomal RNA is filed under the name uncultured Lachnospiraceae bacterium. RNAcentral describes it as "bacterial SSU rRNA". It matches the Rfam family "Bacterial small subunit ribosomal RNA", at positions 262 to 728 of the family's 1533-position model. Lineage: Bacteria; Bacillati; Bacillota; Clostridia; Lachnospirales; Lachnospiraceae. The record is from RNAcentral.